UGGAUAAACAAUGAUGACUUGUGGUAUGAGUCUUUGAUGAGGAACACUACGGGUCUGGAGUUCUGAGGCCCAA
Small nucleolar RNA from Physeter macrocephalus (sperm whale), 73 nucleotides. Ensembl annotates it as small nucleolar RNA, C/D box 114-31. Lineage: Eukaryota; Metazoa; Chordata; Mammalia; Artiodactyla; Physeteridae. The record is from Ensembl.